CCUACGGGAGGCAGCAGUGAGGAAUAUUGGUCAAUGGGCGCGAGCCUGAACCAGCCAAGUCGCGUGAGGGAAGACGGUCCUAUGGAUUGUAAACCUCUUUUGUCGGGGAGCAAAAGACGCCACGCGUGGCGUUCCGAGAGUACCCGAAGAAAAAACAUCGGCUAACUCCGUGCCAGCCGCCGCGGUACUACGGAGGAUGCGAGCGUUAUCCGGAUUUAUUGGGUUUCAAGGGUGCUCAGGCGGAAGAUCAAGUCAGCGGUAAAAUUGAGAGGCUCAACCUCUUCGAGCCGUUGAAACUGGUUUUCUUGAGUGAGUGAGAAGUAUGCGGAAUGCGUGGGGUAGCGGUGAAAUGCAUAGAUAUCACGCAGAACUCCGAUUGCGAAGGCAGCAUACCGGCGCUCAACUGACGCUCAUGCACGAAAGUGUGGGUAUCGAACAGGAUUAGAUACCCUUGUAGUC
This 459-nucleotide ribosomal RNA is filed under the name uncultured bacterium. RNAcentral describes it as "partial 16S ribosomal RNA". It matches the Rfam family "Bacterial small subunit ribosomal RNA", at positions 338 to 795 of the family's 1533-position model. The record is from RNAcentral.